AGAAAAACGCUGACGAAGAGUAGUACAUAUGUUCAUUUCACGUUUAGAGAGUCUGUGGUUGCUGCAAACAGAUCGUGGAGGCAUAUGGAAUGGACUUCCGAGUUAGCUUUGUGAACGCUAUUAGAAGCUAUUAGCAGAGCUCGUCCCUUCACGUUACGAAGCUGAGUGGCCUUUUAGGCAAGCUGGGUGGUACCGCGGAUUCAAAACAUCAUUCGUCCCUUCA
RNAcentral lists this non-coding RNA (223 nucleotides) under Lysinibacillus sphaericus. RNAcentral describes it as "Lysinibacillus sp. T-box sequence". It matches the Rfam family "T-box leader". From Rfam's summary of the family: Uncharged tRNA acts as the effector for transcription antitermination of genes in the T-box leader family. T-boxes are found upstream of many aminoacyl-tRNA synthetase genes and some amino acid biosynthetic genes usually in Gram-positive bacteria. The record is from RNAcentral. Lineage: Bacteria; Bacillati; Bacillota; Bacilli; Caryophanales; Bacillaceae.